RNAcentral lists this ribosomal RNA (325 nucleotides) under uncultured eukaryote. RNAcentral describes it as "partial 18S ribosomal RNA". It matches the Rfam family "Eukaryotic small subunit ribosomal RNA", at positions 1470 to 1796 of the family's 1831-position model. The record is from RNAcentral.
CCCUUAGAUGUCCUGGGCCGCACGCGCGCUACACUGACAUGUUCAACAAGCCUCCUAGUUCGACAGGAUUUGGGAAAUCUUUGAACGCAUGUCGUGAUAGGGAUAGAUCAUUGCAAUUAUUGAUCUUGAACGAGGAAUUCCUAGUAAACGCGAGUCAUCAGCUCGCAUUGAUUACGUCCCUGCCCUUUGUACACACCGCCCGUCGCUCCUACCGAUUGAAUGUGUUGGUGAGGAGCUCGGAUUGGCAGCAGUUGGUGGUUCGCCACCGGCUAUUGCUGAGAAGUCCUCCAAACCGCCCCAUUUAGAGGAAGGAGAAGUCGUAACA